Molecule: ribosomal RNA, 1521 nt
Filed under: Triticum aestivum (bread wheat)
Lineage: Eukaryota; Viridiplantae; Streptophyta; Magnoliopsida; Poales; Poaceae
Description: partial small subunit ribosomal RNA
Source: RNAcentral
AUGAAAAAGGGCAGGAGGAACGACAAGGGUAAGAAGCUUGCGGGCAAGGCCGCGGCAAGGGCUCUCGUGUGGCUUCUGCUUCCUGUCCUCGUCUUCGUCGUGCUCAACUCCCAUCACAUGCCGCAGGUUCCUCUUCAAGCAACAACUCUUUAUUUGGUCGGUCAUGCAUCAAGCGAGCAGACGCCCGUCGGUGCACCACCUUCUCCCGCAUCAGGCGAUGAAACGCCCGUCAACGCACCACCUUCUCCCGCAACAAGCCACCAUCCUUCCCCCGCAUCACGCCCCGGCGUCGUCAGUGCCAACAAAAGUCAAGCCCGUCCACGAGAUACAGAUGUGGCAGCACCAAGAAGCAAGUCAAUUUGCAACUUCAGCAGUGACCGCAUGGACAUCUGUGCCAUGCAAGGCGACGUCCGUAUGCACGGCAAAUCUGCCACCGUCUACGUUGUCUCAGCGUCUGAAGACAGCUACCGGCCAGAGAACGGGACGGUGAAGAUCCGCCCGUAUCCGCGCAAGUCAGAGGAAGGAACGAUGCAUGCUAUCCGGGAGGUGACCAUCCGCUGGAGCGGGCUGGAUGCGCCACGGUGCACGGUGACGCACGACGUCCCCGCGGUGGUCUUCUCCACGGGCGCCUACCUCAACAACUUUUUCCACGCCAUGACCGACGGCAUCAUCCCUCUCUUCAACACUGUGAGGGAGUACGAUGGCCAUGUCCAGCUUGUGAUCACCGACUACAACCGCAAGUGGGUUGACAAGUUCCAACGCAUCCUCGCCGCGCUCUCCAGGUACCCGGUCAUCAACUUGGACGCCGAUGACAAGGUGCGUUGCUUCCCGUCGGUGCACGUCGGCACCGAAGGCCAUAAGGAGAUGGGGAUCAUCCCUGCUCUCUCCCGCAAGGGCUACACAAUGACGGACUUCCGGAACUUUCUUCGUUCGAUCUACUCGUUGAAGCGUGAGUGGUCGACCCCUGUAAACCGGACCUCCGGUGACAGGCCUCGCCUCCUCAUGAUCCUGCGCCGCAACUCGAGGGCGUUCGUGAAUGAGGCGGAGGCCGUCGCAGCUGCCACAGAGGUCGGCUUCGAGGUGGUGUCGGCAGAGCCGCAUGUCGUGAGCGACAUGGCCCGGUUUGCAGAGGUUGUGAACUCAUGCGACGUGAUGGUGGGCGUGCAUGGCGCAGGGCUCACCAACCUGGUGUUCCUCCCGCGCAACGCGACGUUGGUGCAGGUCGUCCCGUGGGGCGACAUGAGCUGGGGAUCCAAUGCUGCCUUUGGUGCACCGUCGGCUGACAUGGGGCUCCGGUACGUCCAAUACGAGACGACCCCGGAGGAGACGACGCUCAAGUACAAAUACCCGAGGGACCAUGCUGUCUUCACCGAUGUCGCCUCCAUAAAUAGGCAGGGGUAUGGUAUGACGUGGGAGCUCUUCCUCAACGGCCAGAACAUCACCCUCGACAUCAACCGCUAUAGAGGGGUGUUGCAGCAAAUCUACCAGGAUAGUAUAAUGGUUGAUACUUCAGCUAACUAG